This 229-nucleotide long non-coding RNA is filed under the name Elaeis guineensis (African oil palm). RNAcentral describes it as "long non-coding RNA (EGUI_LNC023267)". The record is from RNAcentral. Lineage: Eukaryota; Viridiplantae; Streptophyta; Magnoliopsida; Arecales; Arecaceae.
AAGGCUUUGAUGUCAUUUUCUCAACUUCUCCACCACUCCAUCAAGCAAAUAUUUGAUAUGGAGGAUACCACAUGGGAUUGUAGAGACUGGGAAUAGUAUUGAAGGUUAAAUUACUUCUGGAUUCUCAUGACAACAGAUGCCCUACAUGGAGUGUCUGGACAAGAGUCUUACUAGUGUUAGACUAUCUGAAGAUAUUUGCAUCUAAGAAAUUUUUUUCUGAAAAGUAAGG